CCUACGGGAGGCUGCAGUGGGGAAUAUUGGACAAUGGGGGGAACCCUGAUCCAGCCAUGCCGCGUGUGUGAAGAAGGCCCUCGGGUUGUAAAGCACUUUCAGUGAGGAAGAACGCCUGGUGGUUAAUACCCAUCAGGAAAGACAUCACUCACAGCAGAAGCACCGGCUAACUCCGUGCCAGCAGCCGCGGUAAUACGGAGGGUGCGAGCGUUAAUCGGAAUUACUGGGCGUAAAGCGCGCGUAGGUGGCUUGAUAAGCCGGUUGUGAAAGCCCCGGGCUCAACCUGGGAACGGCAUCCGGAACUGUCAAGCUAGAGUGAAGGAGAGGAAGGUAGAAUUCCCGGUGUAGCGGUGAAAUGCGUAGAGAUCGGGAGGAAUACCAGUGGCGAAGGCGGCCUUCUGGACUGACACUGACACUGAGGUGCGAAAGCGUGGGUAGCAAACAGGAUUAGAUACCCCUGUAGUC
RNAcentral lists this ribosomal RNA (465 nucleotides) under Vreelandella stevensii. Its description in RNAcentral is "partial 16S ribosomal RNA". It matches the Rfam family "Bacterial small subunit ribosomal RNA", at positions 338 to 795 of the family's 1533-position model. Lineage: Bacteria; Pseudomonadati; Pseudomonadota; Gammaproteobacteria; Oceanospirillales; Halomonadaceae. The record is from RNAcentral.